RNAcentral lists this ribosomal RNA (301 nucleotides) under uncultured bacterium. RNAcentral's name for it is "partial 16S ribosomal RNA". It matches the Rfam family "Bacterial small subunit ribosomal RNA", at positions 509 to 807 of the family's 1533-position model. The record is from RNAcentral.
CAGCAGCCGCGGUAAUACAGAGGGUGCAAGCGUUAAUCGGAAUUACUGGGCGUAAAGUGCGCGUAGGUGGUUUGUUAAGUUGGAUGUGAAAUCCCCGGGCUCAACCUGGGAACUGCAUCCAAAACUGGCAAGCUAGAGUAUGGUAGAGGGUGGUGGAAUUUCCUGUGUAGCGGUGAAAUGCGUAGAUAUAGGAAGGAACACCAGUGGCGAAGGCGACCACCUGGACUGAUACUGACACUGAGGUGCGAAAGCGUGGGGAGCAAACAGGAUUAGAUACCCGGGUAGUCCCUGUCUCUUAUAC